UCCCUGGUGGAUCAGAUGGUAAAGCAUCUGCCUACAAUGCAGGAGACCCAGGUUCGAUCCCUGGGUUGGGAA
RNAcentral lists this transfer RNA (72 nucleotides) under Bos taurus (domestic cattle). It matches the Rfam family "tRNA". Rfam says of the family: Transfer RNA (tRNA) molecules are approximately 80 nucleotides in length. Their secondary structure includes four short double-helical elements and three loops (D, anti-codon, and T loops). Lineage: Eukaryota; Metazoa; Chordata; Mammalia; Artiodactyla; Bovidae. RNAcentral also lists the same sequence under 4 other names. The record is from Rfam by way of RNAcentral.